CGUUUAGGGGUAAACCUGAGAAACCCGAAAGUUCGAAGGAAGAAAUUCAUUCGCGUGUCGAUGUUGACGUUGAGUGUUAGCAUGACGAAAGGCGUUUCUACGCCAUUUGCAUCUUUCAUUGUUCGAUUCAGCAACGAACGCGUGCACUUUUCUUCUGGUAGAACGUCGCGAUCCGUUGGGUGUCGGUCUACGAAUUGCAAUGGAGAUCGAAUGUUACACGUGUUCUUUGAGCACGUGGACACGUUUGAACUUGUAAUUUCUCCGACCGACUUGCUUGACGGUAUACGAACGGUUUAGGGCCGCUCUAGGAGCGUUCGACUCCGGGCAAGCGCGCCAGCUGUGUCGAUGACCGGACUUUGUGCUGAUCACGAUCACUGGUGACUGUUGGCCCGGAUGUUCUUGAACCGACCCUACUAAAGUCCAUCGGAAAAACCGAUCAGCGGCGCUAUAGCUUUGGGUACUUUCAGGACCCGUCUUGAAACACGGACCAAGGAGUCUAGCAUGUACGCAAGUCAUUGGGAAUAAUUAAACCUAAAGGCGAAAUGAAAGUAAAGAUUCUCCUUGCGGGAAUCUAGGGAGGACGAACAGUUUUACCAGAAACGGUAGCUGAUCUGCACUCCCGGGGCGUCUCAUUCUCAUUGCGAGAAGAGGCGCACCAAGAGCGUACACGCUGGGACCCGAAAGAUGGUGAACUAUGCCUGGUCAGGAUGAAGUCAGGGGAAACCCUGAUGGAGGUCCGUAGCGAUUCUGACGUGCAAAUCGAUCGUCGGAACUGGGUAUAGGGGCGAAAGACUAAUCGAACCAUC
RNAcentral lists this ribosomal RNA (806 nucleotides) under Scolytoplatypus skyliuae. RNAcentral's name for it is "partial 28S ribosomal RNA". It matches the Rfam family "Eukaryotic large subunit ribosomal RNA", at positions 406 to 944 of the family's 3401-position model. The record is from RNAcentral. Lineage: Eukaryota; Metazoa; Arthropoda; Insecta; Coleoptera; Curculionidae.